Molecule: small RNA, 46 nt
Organism: Lentisphaera araneosa HTCC2155
Lineage: Bacteria; Pseudomonadati; Lentisphaerota; Lentisphaeria; Lentisphaerales; Lentisphaeraceae
Rfam family: Acido-Lenti-1 RNA
Source: Rfam
CCUAGCACUGCCGUGCCAGGCUGAGUUAUGCCGUGCUUUCAGCACU